RNAcentral lists this ribosomal RNA (305 nucleotides) under uncultured bacterium. Its description in RNAcentral is "bacterial SSU rRNA". It matches the Rfam family "Bacterial small subunit ribosomal RNA", at positions 334 to 653 of the family's 1533-position model. The record is from RNAcentral.
UUGCCCUACGGGAGGCAGCAGUGGGGAAUAUUGGGCAAUGGGCGCAAGCCUGACCCAGCAACGCCGCGUGAAGGAAGAAGGCUUUCGGGUUGUAAACUUCUUUUCUCAGAGACGAAGCAAGUGACGGUACCUGAGGAAUAAGCCACGGCUAACUACGUGCCAGCAGCCGCGGUAAUACGUAGGUGGCAAGCGUUAUCCGGAUUUACUGGGUGUAAAGGGCGUGUAGGCGGGGACGCCAGUCAGAUGUGAAAACCACGGGCUCAACCUGUGGCCUGCAUUUGAAACUGUGUUUCUUGAGUACUGGA